Dipodomys ordii (Ord's kangaroo rat) is the source of this 108-nucleotide small nuclear RNA. The record is from Ensembl. Lineage: Eukaryota; Metazoa; Chordata; Mammalia; Rodentia; Heteromyidae.
AUGCUCACCUCAGCAGCUCAAAUACUAAAAGUGGAAAGAUACAGAGAAGAGUAGCGUGGCCCCUGUGCAAGGAUGGCUUCCAUACAUUAUAAAAGACAAAACCCAUUU